Molecule: small RNA, 28 nt
Filed under: Bombyx mori (domestic silkworm)
Lineage: Eukaryota; Metazoa; Arthropoda; Insecta; Lepidoptera; Bombycidae
Description: ovarian small RNA-30682
Source: RNAcentral
UGAACAGUCUGCUAGUCGGGUGUUGGUA